This 106-nucleotide small nuclear RNA is filed under the name Prolemur simus (greater bamboo lemur). The record is from RNAcentral. Lineage: Eukaryota; Metazoa; Chordata; Mammalia; Primates; Lemuridae.
AUACUGGCUUAGCAGUACGUAUUCUAAAAUUGGAAUGAUACAGAGAAGAUCAGCGUAGCCCCUGUGUGAGGAUGACACACAAAUUUGUGAAGCAUUCCAUGAAAAA